CUUACACAUGCAAGUCGAACGAGAAAGUACCUUCGGGUGCGAGUAAAGUGGCGGACGGGUGAGUAACGCGUGGGAAUCUGCCUAGUAGUUGGGGACAACUUCCGGAAACGGGAGCUAAUACCGAAUACGCCCUAAGGGGGAAAGGCUUCGGCCGCUAUUAGAUGAGCCCGCGUAAGAUUAGCUUGUUGGUGGGGUAACGGCCUACCAAGGCGACGAUCUUUAGCUGGUCUGAGAGGACGAUCAGCCACACUGGGACUGAGACACGGCCCAGACUCCUACGGGAGGCAGCAGUGGGGAAUAUUGGACAAUGGGGGAAACCCUGAUCCAGCAAUGCCGCGUGUGUGAAGAAGGCCUGCGGGUUGUAAAGCACUUUCAGUAGGGAAGAUAAUGACGGUACCUACAAAAGAAGCACCGGCUAACUCCGUGCCAGCAGCCGCGGUAAUACGGAGGGUCCGAGCGUUAAUCGGAAUUACUGGGCGUAAAGCGCGCGUAGGCGGAUAAAUAAGUCAGAUGUGAAAUCCCCGGGCUCAACCUGGGAACUGCAUUUGAAACUGUAUAUCUAGAGUGUGGUAGAGGUGAGUGGAAUUUCAGGUGUAGCGGUGAAAUGCGUAGAGAUCUGAAGGAACAUCAGUGGCGAAGGCGACUCACUGGGCCAUUACUGACGCUGAGGUGCGAAAGCGUGGGUAGCAAACAGGAUUAGAUACCCUGGUAGUCCACGCCCUAAACGAUGUCAACUAGGUGUGUGAAGAUAUAAUCUUUGCGUAUCGAAGCUAACGCGAUAAGUUGACCGCCUGGGGAGUACGGCCGCAAGGCUAAAACUCAAAUGAAUUGACGGGGGCCCGCACAAGCGGUGGAGCAUGUGGUUUAAUUCGAUGCAACGCGAAGAACCUUACCUAGUCUUGACAUGUAGCG
This 912-nucleotide ribosomal RNA is filed under the name uncultured Gammaproteobacteria bacterium. RNAcentral's name for it is "bacterial SSU rRNA". It matches the Rfam family "Bacterial small subunit ribosomal RNA", at positions 48 to 993 of the family's 1533-position model. Lineage: Bacteria; Pseudomonadati; Pseudomonadota; Gammaproteobacteria. The record is from RNAcentral.